Long non-coding RNA from Pezoporus occidentalis (night parrot), 3766 nucleotides. RefSeq lists it as uncharacterized. Lineage: Eukaryota; Metazoa; Chordata; Aves; Psittaciformes; Psittacidae. The transcript has 2 exons. The record is from RefSeq and is a predicted model, not a curated record.
UGAUGCUAUCAUGCAUCUCCUGGAUUUAUGACAUCUUGGCAUUAAUCCUCACUGGAUUUCUUUGCUGGCUAUAUCCUGAUGUCUCAGAUAUGAUUUAUGCCUUUACUGACAAGUCUAUCAGUAGGCAGUUUACCCCAUUAAAACAUUACUAUCCCUCAGAGAAGCCCCCUGUUCUCAAUAUUUAUAAGUGGAUUUGAUCUAGAGAUUCCCAAACCCUGCCCUUUCAAAGAAUACACCAACUUCCAUCUGCAAACAGCAAAAGCCACUGGGGUGGUAUGACAAUCUCGCAUGCCAUCCUACUGCAUCCCUUCUCAAAGGUUAACUGGGAGUAAGAGACCCUCUCCCUUAACCACUGUGUGAUUUCACCAAGGGUGUUAGAAGUUUAUUGCAGUCUUUUCCACAGACAACAGCAUUUCAGCGAGGGGAUGCUCUGGAAUGUCAUAUUCUAGUUUCAAGAGCAUCCAAAUGCCCUUCAGAAAUGCCUCCAGUAGUGUGUUUAUUGCCUUUCUUUUUUUCAUUCCCUAAGUUAAAAGCUGUUCUUUGUCAGGCUGUUUUCUUCUUCAUGUAUUUUAUAUGAUCAGCUCUCAAUAAGUGCAUCAUUUAAGCUUUAGGAUGAAACCUGGAAAUAGCACUCAGACCCCUGGAGAGUUCAUUCCUACAAACAAUGCUUUCAAACCAUUCUGCCUGAUUGCACCCCGAUACUGAAUGAUUCGAGAGAGGAAUCCUUAUUCACUUCUGAUGCUCUUUUGGUAAGAGCAAUGACAGAUUAGCACAGAGGAGGAGCAGGCUGUUUGGCUUUUCUUAUUUAUUUAUUUGGGUGGUUUUAUCCCAUUUUCCACCUCAGUCUUCACCUAAUUCUCAGCUAUGUUAGCUCAAGCUAAGAAGUAACUACUCUGAUUUCAAGUGAGAUGGGGUUUACUCAGCUGGUUACCUGCUUUGUUCAAUUACUAAUGUUGAAGCACUAUUGAUUUCACUUCCCUGAGCUUAGUCACAAACAAGUGCUGAAAAAUGGAAGUGGCAAGCAAAGGAACAAGAAAACAGCAUCUGCUUCCAACAUGGUUCAGUCAUCUAAAAUCCAAGUGGCCCAUGAAUAAUGUUAACCUGUGAAAAGUCAUUCCCACAGAAGUUCUUUUUCCCUUCUCAAAUUCCUCUAGUUACUUUCACUCAACAUAAUUUUACUUUCCCAGUUCAAGGAUUAUGUGUUUUGGGGUAACGGCUUUGGGCAAAUGGUACCUUUACAUGAGCUGCCUGUAAUCUAGGAAGCUCUUUGAGAUUUGGUACAUAGAUAUUGCACUGAAAUCCUUACAUGAAAAACAAGUUACAAAACCAAAGUAAUGCAUUAGCCCAGCCCUCAUUCUCAAACAUGGUCUUCUCCCCUCAAUCCCAAAAUCUACUUUACUGGCUACAGUCUCAGGCAGUCCAAAAUCUUAGAUGACCACUUGCUUCCAAAGAAUUAAGCAAAGAAAAUACCUCUUAAGACAUUUACCUUCAUGAGGUCUCCCCACCCCAGCCCUAAACCACCCCACAGUUUAGAUAUUCCACACAAAAUCCUCCAGGACCCUAAAGUACCCUCCAACAUGGUGUCUCUGCUCUGGGAUACACUUACUACUGCCCAAACCCACCAUGUCCAGGUGGGACUCCAGCAGCAGCUGUGUUAGAGCUCAGCUUUGGCCUUGGGUAGGCCUUUUAAAGAGAUUUGUACUAAAACCCCACCCAGAGCACAGCCUAUAAACGAAAAGUGACCAGGUGAAGGAAAAAUCUUUGCGGAAGUGGCCAUGUACAGAUCAAUAGGGUUUGACCAUGCUAUCAAGGGGAACCCAGAUCCUCUAGUGAUGCACUGCAGAAAACACUGCAAGUAAAAGCAAUCCCUUAAACAGAAACCCUGCUGGCAAUGGUGCCAGGUCUUAGUGAUAUUUGACCUUGGGCUUGAUUCAGGUUUUGUCACAGGUCCCUUCCCUGGGCAACAGGCUAGGCCAAAGCAAUGAGACCUGGGUAUGAACUUUGUCAUUUGAGCCCUACUCUGACAUUGCCGUGCUAAUUAAUGCAUAAGGUAAAAAUAAUAUGUCAAACCAACAGUAUCUUAAAUGAGUAUCAAAACCCUUCAGCAAGACCAGGUCCCUAAAAAUCAUGACAUUUCCUUCCCCCUUCAGUGUCUCCUGCAUAAAUACCCCCUUUUAGUAGACAGAAACUAUGAUGUAAUGCAAUCAAAUAAGCCUGACUUUUCUUUCUCUGCAGGGCACACAGUUGAGGCCAGGUACCCCUUUCUCCUUUGUACCCUCUUGCCCAAUGGCCAGCCAGAAGUAUUGAGCAGUGAGGGAGGAAGGAAAGAGAUAAAAGAGAUGUCUGCAAGUGAAACAGUGAGCACCACAGGAGUGACCACAAAGAAGCUGCCUGGGGUCCAAUUCAGGUACGUCCUUCUGGGGAGAAAAUAAAUGGUUGCUGUGCUGCCUGGCUGUGAUAUGAGGAACUUACAUGUUGCCAAAGCCAUUUUUUAUCUCAUUGGAAAUACUGACAUGUGUUGGGAAUUCCAGAUUGUAAGUAUUGGGAAAUUAUGUUUUCUCAGCAAAGAGAGCAUCAGGACAAGAAAGGAAUGCUUUGCCAUUUCUCCGCAGCACUGUGCUUCAAUCCUCAGUGGGGAAACCAUGGAGUCAGGUAGCUCAGGAGCCAACCUCAGGGGUGAAAGUGAAAUCCCAUCUAAAGGCCCCAUGCCAUCAUGGAAGACAAAGAGAAGACAUUUGUUCCAUGACACAACAUAGUCUUAGGUGCCAAGGCACCUAAACAAAGCAAUUGAGGAAGCCCAUGCUAUGUAUGAGGCUCUGCACAGCUGGAGUUAGGAAGCACUAUUACAGCCACAUUGUCAUACACGAACCCUAAAUUAAGAUGGAGGAAUUCACCAUGCACACAAGUACCUAAGACAAAUGAGCUACAUGCCUGAUGUCAACUGGCCUUGCAAGUAACAGGUACUUUAAUUCAGUUAUCAGCGCCUGAAAACCCGAAUCAAAGUCUCUGUGGAUGAAAAACAGGGCAAUUGACUGACAUAAAAAUCCUUAACUUUCUAAGCCAAGAUGUCCCUCUAGAGCUGAAACAAAUAUAGACAUCAUUGCCAUGAUAACGAGACUAAUCUUUCUUUUCAUGGACAUGAGGUACCCAACUAAACAAGAUAUUAGUAGCAGUAAUUACAUGACUUAAAUAAACUAACUGUAUGUAUUAAGUGUAUUUCAGCUAAAUGCACUGAUUUUCAGUCAUACCACUGGUGAUAAUAGUAACAGUUAACAAAUCAGAAGCAUUGUUUCAUGUCCUAAGUAGCUUUAGAAGCACUAAGGAAUAAAGGUUUUGUUAAUAAAGAGUGGUGAAUAAACACAAAUCACAUAAGGAUUUUAAGAAGUUUGAAUAAGCCACACAAAUCAAUGGAAGAUAAGUAGGAACCCAGAGAAAUCUGCUUUCUAUCAAAAAUCCCUAAAAACAAUAAUGUAACAUGGUUUGGGUGAAAUGAGAUCAAAGUAUUCCUUUCCAUAACUGAACAGACAUGCCCACAAAACAGAACCCACCAUAACAGAGGUCCUUUUCUCGGGAAAUUCAGGAUAGGUAUAGAUGGCGAUUCUGGCAAAGAUACCAAAAAGCAGAUCCUAAAGAUACGGAUAAAACCAGGAAGAGAGAAAACUGCAGGAAGAUGGUCAAGACACAAACAUCCAGGUAUAUUAGGCUAUUGUCUUUCUCCAUUUUUCUACUUUUAUGGAGGUACUUGAAAUUGCAAUGAAUAAAUAAA